RNAcentral lists this unclassified non-coding RNA (334 nucleotides) under soil metagenome. Its description in RNAcentral is "partial contains 5.8S ribosomal RNA, internal transcribed spacer 2, and large subunit ribosomal RNA". The stretch from base 1 to 120 matches the Rfam family "5.8S ribosomal RNA", at positions 35 to 154 of the family's 154-position model. The record is from RNAcentral.
GAUGAAUAACGUAGCGAAAUGCGAUAAGUAAUGUGAAUUGCAGAAUUCAGUGAAUCAUCGAAUCUUUGAACGCACAUUGCGCCCGCCAGUAUUCUGGCGGGCAUGCCUGUUCGAGCGUCAUUUCAACCAUCAAGCCCCAGGCUUGUGUUGGAGCCCUGCGGCUGCCGCAGCCUCCCAAAACCAGUGGCGGGCUCGCUAUCACACCGAGUGCAGUAGUUUACUCUUCGCUCAGGGCGUGUGGCGGGUGCUAGCCGUAAAACCCCCAACUUCUCAAGGUUGACCUCGGAUCAGGUAGGAAUACCCGCUGAACUUAAGCAUAUCAAUAAGCGGAGGA